This is a non-coding RNA of Pelobates cultripes (western spadefoot toad), 228 nucleotides long. The record is from the annotation of a GenBank genome assembly. NCBI's taxonomy places the organism in Eukaryota, Metazoa, Chordata, Amphibia, Anura, Pelobatidae.
CUAAGAGACAGUUAAGGAAAAAGUUGAGGUAUGGACAAAUCUUGGAAGACUUUAACUAAUGAGGCUCGGUGGAGGAGUACAAAGCAUCAAAACAUCCUGCAGGAGAAAGGUACGGCAGUAGUUCCCAAUCUAGUCCUUGGCACUAUUACUGGUGUUUCAGGUUCUAAAAAAACUUGGACGAGCAGUAAAUUGAGAACAAACAAUUGUGGUCUUUUGGAUGGCAAUGUC